UGGGGAAUAUUGGACAAUGGGGGAAACCCUGAUCCAGCGAUGCCGCGUGAGUGAAGAAGGCCUUCGGGUUGUAAAGCUCUUUUGGCAGGGAAGAUAAUGACGGUACCUGCAGAAUAAGCCCCGGCAAACUUCGUGCCAGCAGCCGCGGUAAUACGAAGGGGGCUAGCGUUGUUCGGAAUUACUGGGCGUAAAGGGAGCGUAGGCGGCUCUAUAAGUUGGAUGUGAAAGCCCCGAGCUUAACUUGGGAAUA
RNAcentral lists this ribosomal RNA (250 nucleotides) under uncultured bacterium. Its description in RNAcentral is "partial 16S ribosomal RNA". It matches the Rfam family "Bacterial small subunit ribosomal RNA", at positions 355 to 622 of the family's 1533-position model. The record is from RNAcentral.